UGGGGAAUUUUGGACAAUGGGCGCAAGCCUGAUCCAGCCAUUCCGCGUGCAGGACGAAGGCCUUCGGGUUGUAAACUGCUUUUGUACGGAACGAAAAGGCUCUGGCUAAUACCUGGGGCUCAUGACGGUACCGUAAGAAUAAGCACCGGCUAACUACGUGCCAGCAGCCGCGGUAAUACGUAGGGUGCAAGCGUUAAUCGGAAUUACUGGGCGUAAAGCGUGCGCAGGCGGUUAUGUAAGACAGAGGUGAAAUCCCCGGGCUCAACCUGGGAACUGCCUUUGUGACUGCAUAGCUGGAGUACGGCAGAGGGGGAUGGAAUUCCGCGUGUAGCAGUGAAAUGCGUAGAUAUGCGGAGGAACACCGAUGGCGAAGGCAAUCCCCUGGGCCUGUACUGACGCUCAUGCACGAAAGCGUGGGGAGCAAACA
RNAcentral lists this ribosomal RNA (427 nucleotides) under uncultured bacterium. RNAcentral's name for it is "bacterial SSU rRNA". It matches the Rfam family "Bacterial small subunit ribosomal RNA", at positions 355 to 774 of the family's 1533-position model. The record is from RNAcentral.